This 468-nucleotide ribosomal RNA is filed under the name uncultured bacterium. RNAcentral describes it as "partial 16S ribosomal RNA". It matches the Rfam family "Bacterial small subunit ribosomal RNA", at positions 28 to 507 of the family's 1533-position model. The record is from RNAcentral.
GACGAACGCUGGCGGCGUGCUUAACACAUGCAAGUCGAACGGACAGGCCCUGCUUUUGCUGGGUGCUCGUGAGGCGAGCGGGUGUGUAACACGUGAGUAACCUGUCCUUGACUUUGUGAUAACUUUUGGAAAAUGGGGCUCAUACAGGGUAGGAGAUCCUGCUGCACGGUGGUGGUUGGUAAGUUUCGGCGGUUGGGGAUGGACUCGCGGCUUCUCCGCUUGUUGGUGUGGUAGUGGCUUACCAAGGCUUUGACGGGUAGCCGGCCUGAGAGGGUUAACGGCCACAUUGGGACUGAGAUACGGCCCAGACUCCUACGGGAGGCAGCAGUGGGGAAUAUUGCACAAUGGGCGGAAGCCUGAGGCAGCAACGCCGCGUGCGGGAUGACGGCCUUCGGGUUGUAAACCGCUUUCGCCUGUGACGAAGCGUGAGUGACGGUAAUGGGUAAAGAAGCACCGGCUAACUACGUG